This 483-nucleotide ribosomal RNA is filed under the name uncultured bacterium. RNAcentral describes it as "partial 16S ribosomal RNA". It matches the Rfam family "Bacterial small subunit ribosomal RNA", at positions 29 to 507 of the family's 1533-position model. The record is from RNAcentral.
AUUGAACGCUGGCGGCAGGCCUAACACAUGCAAGUCGAGCGGAUGAAGGGAGCUUGCUCCCGGAUUCAGGGGCGGACGGGUGGGUAAUGCCUAGGAAUCUGCCUGGUAGCGGGGGAUAACGUCCUGAAACGGGCGAUAAUACCCCAUACGUCCUUAGGGCGAAAGUGGGGGAUCUUCGGAUCUCACGCCAUCAGAUGAGCCUAGGACGCAUUAGCUGGUUGGUGGGGUAAAGGGCUACCAAGGCGGCGAUCCGAAACUGGUCGGAGGGGAUGAUCGGUCACACGGGAACUGAGACACGUUCCCACCCCCUAGGGGAGGCAGCGGUGGGAAAUAUUGGAGAGGGGGCGAAAGCCUAUACAAGCCAAGCGGCGUGUGUGAAGAAGGUCUUCGGAUUGUAAAGCACUUUAGGUUGAGAGGAAGGGAGGUAAGUUAAUACCUUGCUGUUUGAAGGUAACCAAAGAAAAAGCCACGGGUAACUUUGUG